RNAcentral lists this transfer RNA (68 nucleotides) under Marmota marmota marmota (Alpine marmot). It matches the Rfam family "tRNA". From Rfam's summary of the family: Transfer RNA (tRNA) molecules are approximately 80 nucleotides in length. RNAcentral also lists the same sequence under 2 other names. Lineage: Eukaryota; Metazoa; Chordata; Mammalia; Rodentia; Sciuridae. The record is from Rfam by way of RNAcentral.
GUGGUGGCUCAGUGGUAGAGCGCUUGCCUAGCAUGCAAGAGGCACUGGGUUUAAUUCUUAGCACCACA